UUUUUGUUUCAUCUCUGAUUUUGGGGCGGAAAGGCCUCUGGAUGCCGGGACCAGCACUUGGACCUCGAGUUCAUCAUUGGCAUGCCCGAUCAGACCUGUUCCAUUGUGUAUCAUACCGUUGGCCAAUAAGGCCCACCAUGACAUUCUGGGGUCCACUGGUAUUUGACGUACCACACAGAAGGAAAAUGGAGGUGUACAGGAAAUGAGAGGAGCGCUUGGCAUGUUAUUCCGAUGAGUGACAAAAACAAAGACAUGGAAAAACAUAAGCAAUGCUUAGGAGUGGUGCGCGAGGGAGGCGGGUGGUGUUAGACAGGGGUCGUUUCCCAUCACUUUGAACCUGUUGACAUCAUAGCUGUGUAACGCUGCCAUCACCCGAAAAGAUGUUGAUGGUGGUCUCCCUUCACCCUUACGCCACCUUGCACACCCUCCCUCACCAAAGCCACCGUUCAAAUGAGUCCAACACCCAAAUACAAACCAAAAACCAAAUGAAAACCGAGAAAAGCCACCAGCAUUGUCAAGAAAAAG
This is a long non-coding RNA of Rhinichthys klamathensis goyatoka, 525 nucleotides long. RefSeq lists it as uncharacterized. The record is from RefSeq and is a predicted model, not a curated record. NCBI's taxonomy places the organism in Eukaryota, Metazoa, Chordata, Actinopteri, Cypriniformes, Leuciscidae. The transcript is spliced from 2 exons.